RNAcentral lists this ribosomal RNA (1041 nucleotides) under Riukiaria mundyi. RNAcentral describes it as "partial large subunit ribosomal RNA". Lineage: Eukaryota; Metazoa; Arthropoda; Diplopoda; Polydesmida; Xystodesmidae. The record is from RNAcentral.
GUUAUUAUUGAGGUUUAUUUUGAUAAUUAUAAUAUAUUGGGUUAUUAUUAUGAGUGAGGAUUGUGGAUUUUCUGUAUGUUAGGAGUACUGUUGAGGAAUUAAGUUUAUUUGUUUAUAAUAUUAGGUUAUUUAGUACCUUUUGUAUUAGGGUUUUUUAAUGUAAGUAAAUAUAAAUUUUUUCUCGAUGAAUAUCGGGCUAUUAUUUUAGGUGUUAUUUUUGUUGAAUAAAAUUAAUUAUAGAUUAAUAGUUAUGAAAUAUUAUUCAAGUUAUUUUUUAUCUAGUUUUCUAAGAAAUAUAAUUUAAGGUAUUGAUAUUAUUAAGAUAUGUUGGGAUUAGCUAGCUUAUUUUUUAUAUGUUGAAUUGAUUUUGUUUUAUUUGUGAAGUUAAAAGUUCUUAAUUAUAUGAUGUUAUUAUAAAUUAGGUUGGUGUUUUUAUUAUUUUUUGAUAUUAUGUUGAAAUUAGGAAUUUUGGUGUAAUUUGAAUUUGAGGAUAUAAUGAUAAAAUUAGUAAAAUAUUAAUAUAUGAUUUUAGUUGUAUAGAUUUUUUUGAUAAUAUGAGUAGAAUUAAUUAAUAUUGGGGAAUUCGGCAAAGUUGGCUUUUGACUGUUUAGCAAAAACAUUGUUUUUUGUUGGGAUGAAAAGUAAGGUCUGCCCACUGCUUAUUGGUGAAGGGCUGCAGUAUUUUGACUGUAUGAAGGUAGCAUAAUCAUUAGUUUUUUAAUUGGAAGCUGGUAUGAAGGUGAAACAGGGGCUUGCUAUCUUGAUAUUAUUUAAUGAAUUUUAUUUUUGUGUGAAAAAUCAUAAUUAGAUUAAAGGGACAAGAAGACCCUAGUAAGUUUUAUUUUUUGUUGUAAGGGGUAUGUAGUUUGUUAAAUUAAUAUGAUUUAUGAUUUAAGGGUUUGACUGGGGCGGUAUAUAAUUAAACGUUAUUUAAUUUUUAAUUUUUGUGAGCGGAAAUUUGACCUAAGUUGGUUAGUUAAAGGUUAAAUUACUGUAGGGAUAACAGCGUGAUUUUUUUUGAGAGUUCUUAUUGACAGGAAA